RNAcentral lists this transfer RNA (73 nucleotides) under Desulfobacterales bacterium. Its description in RNAcentral is "tRNA-Lys". It matches the Rfam family "tRNA". Rfam says of the family: Transfer RNA (tRNA) molecules are approximately 80 nucleotides in length. The record is from RNAcentral. Lineage: Bacteria; Pseudomonadati; Thermodesulfobacteriota; Desulfobacteria; Desulfobacterales.
GGGCCGUUAACUCAGUCGGUAGAGUAUCUGCCUUUUAAGCAGAGAGUCACUGGUUCAAGUCCAGUACGGCCCA